Molecule: transfer RNA, 73 nt
Filed under: Bilophila wadsworthia
Lineage: Bacteria; Pseudomonadati; Thermodesulfobacteriota; Desulfovibrionia; Desulfovibrionales; Desulfovibrionaceae
Also listed under: 9 other names
Description: tRNA-Asn
Rfam family: tRNA
About the family: Transfer RNA (tRNA) molecules are approximately 80 nucleotides in length. Their secondary structure includes four short double-helical elements and three loops (D, anti-codon, and T loops).
Source: RNAcentral
UUCACCUAUGAUGAAACGGUAUCAUGACUGGCUGUUAACCAGUUCUUGUAGGUUCAAGUCCUGCUAGGUGAGU